UACGUAGGGUGCGAGCGUUGUCCGGAAUUAUUGGGCGUAAAGCGCGCGUAGGCGGUUAUUUAAGUCUGUGGUGAAAGGUUCAGCGCUCAACGCGAACAUUGCCCUGGAUACUGGAUGACUUGAGUCUGGGAGAGGGUAGUGGAAUUCCUGGUGUAGCGGUGAAAUGCGUAGAUAUCAGGAGGAACACCGGUGGCGAAGGCGACUACCUGGCCUAAGACUGACGCUGAGGUGCGAAAGCGUGGGGAGCGAACGGG
This 254-nucleotide ribosomal RNA is filed under the name uncultured bacterium. RNAcentral's name for it is "partial 16S ribosomal RNA". It matches the Rfam family "Bacterial small subunit ribosomal RNA", at positions 524 to 776 of the family's 1533-position model. The record is from RNAcentral.